GCCUGGCUGGUUCAGGUGAUAGAGUAUGUGACUCUGGAUCUCACGGUUGUGAGUUAGAGCCCCAUGUUGGGCA
RNAcentral lists this transfer RNA (73 nucleotides) under Felis catus (domestic cat). It matches the Rfam family "tRNA". Rfam says of the family: Transfer RNA (tRNA) molecules are approximately 80 nucleotides in length. Their secondary structure includes four short double-helical elements and three loops (D, anti-codon, and T loops). Further hydrogen bonds mediate the characteristic L-shaped molecular structure. tRNAs have two regions of fundamental functional importance: the anti-codon, which is responsible for specific mRNA codon recognition, and the 3' end, to which the tRNAs corresponding amino acid is attached (by aminoacyl-tRNA synthetases). tRNAs cope with the degeneracy of the genetic code in two manners: having more than one tRNA (with a specific anti-codon) for a particular amino acid; and 'wobble' base-pairing, i.e. permitting non-standard base-pairing at the 3rd anti-codon position. Lineage: Eukaryota; Metazoa; Chordata; Mammalia; Carnivora; Felidae. The record is from Rfam by way of RNAcentral.